This is a long non-coding RNA of Harpia harpyja (harpy eagle), 1389 nucleotides long. RefSeq lists it as uncharacterized. Lineage: Eukaryota; Metazoa; Chordata; Aves; Accipitriformes; Accipitridae. The transcript has 2 exons. The record is from RefSeq and is a predicted model, not a curated record.
GUUGACUAGCAGCCUAAUUUUUUUCAGGUAGUCCCUGUAUAUUUGGUGUUGUCUAAGCAUCCCAAAAGCCAUGAUCUCUAAACCAUCAUCCAACUCAUUAAUGAAAAUUUUGAAUAGUACCAGAUCCAAGGGAGAAGCCUGCAAAACCCUACUUGAUGUAGCCCUCCUUUUGGGCUGUGAACCAUUGACAACUACACACCAGGGCACCAGAGGAACCAACCAGCAGAUGAUUCAUGAAAGAGGAUGUUAAAGCAGCAUCACAGAAUUAUUCCACGCUCCUGAUCUGACCCGUCUGUGCCUCUCUUUGAGGUGUGAUGCAAGCCCUGACUAAUAAUAGCCAGAUGUGCCAAGGAAUGCUCCUUCUUGCAUAACUACAGGAAAAUAAAUGGGAAGUCUGCAUGCUCCUUCUGCUUCUGAAAGGAAACAGCAGAAAGGAUUUGAGAUCAUACCUGACUGAGCUUUGCUGCUCUGUACUCAGCCUGCCGUAUGGUCUGUUGGUGCAAUGCAGUAAGUUUCCCUAUCCUGUUAGCCAGCUGCUUAGCCAGCAGUGCAUUCUGCUCUGUGAAGUCCUGGACUGAUGCAUCUAAUUCCAACAGCUUUAUAUUGCAGCUGUCCAACUCUUCACCGAGGAUCUAGACAGAAAAGGAAGAAAAUCAGUGAUCCAGGAAAUGUUAGCUUUUUAGUUGAUUAUUUCUAGUCCAACUUGCAACUUUAUACACUGUCCAAAGUCUCCAUAGUUUGUUCCAUUUUUAUUCUGGCUGGAAACCAACAAUACUUCUCUAAGUAGGGAAGCAGAACAGCAGGAUGUUUGGUCAUCUCUUAAAUGUGUGCCACUACUCUUUCUUCUCUGACUUCCUGGCUGAAAAAGAUAACUGUUUUCCCUACCACAGCAAAAGACUGAGUCACUUCAGAGUGACAUUAACUGUUCUUGGCCAUCUUUCUGUUUGUUUUUGAAAUGAAUAGUCAGCACACAUUGCCAUGACAAGGAUUUUUAUUUAUUGGAAAGGGGUUUUGUUUUGUUGCUGUCUUAAAACAUACCUUUACAAACCCAGAAAUAUGUAAUUACUCAUUAAUACAUUAUGAAAACUUUUCAUUUGAAACUUGCAUUUUCAUAGCUUGAUCUUGACACAGGAGCAGUCUGGAUCAUGCUAGACUGCUUCAACAGAAAUAGAUUUUAAAAUCAAAUUUUCUUACCAUAGUUACAAAGUUUCUGAAAAGUUUAAAAAGGAAACCUAAAAGGUUUUCCAUGUUUCUUAUAGACUGAUAACACACUUAUGCGCUACAGUUUCUUGGGGAGGGGGUAUUGGGUUUCUUCUGUAUUUGGUUUUUAUACCUAAGCUGUUAACAAUUCCUUGGUUUUGUAAUAUAAAUAAAAUAAGUCUCAUCAAA